Molecule: ribosomal RNA, 784 nt
Filed under: uncultured bacterium
Lineage: Bacteria
Description: bacterial SSU rRNA
Rfam family: Bacterial small subunit ribosomal RNA
Source: RNAcentral
AGAGUUUGAUCCUGGCUCAGGACGAACGCUGGCGGCGUGCUUAACACAUGCAAGUCGAGCGGUAAGGCCCUUCGGGGUACACGAGCGGCGAACGGGUGAGUAACACGUGGGUGAUCUGCCUCGUACUUCGGGAUAAGCCUGGGAAACUGGGUCUAAUACCGGAUAUGACCUUCGGAUGCAUGUCUGAGGGUGGAAAGAUUUAUCGGUACGAGAUGGGCCCGCGGCCUAUCAGCUUGUUGGUGGGGUAAUGGCCUACCAAGGCGACGACGGGUAGCCGGCCUGAGAGGGCGACCGGCCACACUGGGACUGAGACACGGCCCAGACUCCUACGGGAGGCAGCAGUGGGGAAUAUUGCACAAUGGGCGAAAGCCUGAUGCAGCGACGCCGCGUGAGGGAUGACGGCCUUCGGGUUGUAAACCUCUUUCGACAGGGACGAAGCGCAAGUGACGGUACCUGUAGAAGAAGCACCGGCCAACUACGUGCCAGCAGCCGCGGUAAUACGUAGGGUGCGAGCGUUGUCCGGAAUUACUGGGCGUAAAGAGCUUGUAGGCGGUUCGUCGCGUCGUUCGUGAAAACUUGGGGCUCAACCCCAAGCUUGCGGGCGAUACGGGCGGACUAGAGUACUUCAGGGGAGACUGGAAUUCCUGGUGUAGCGGUGAAAUGCGCAGAUAUCAGGAGGAACACCGGUGGCGAAGGCGGGUCUCUGGGAAGUAACUGACGCUGAGAAGCGAAAGCGUGGGUAGCGAACAGGAUUAGAUACCCUGGUAGUCCACGCCGUAAACGG